This 69-nucleotide transfer RNA is filed under the name Terriglobia bacterium. Its description in RNAcentral is "tRNA-Arg". It matches the Rfam family "tRNA". From Rfam's summary of the family: Transfer RNA (tRNA) molecules are approximately 80 nucleotides in length. Lineage: Bacteria; Pseudomonadati; Acidobacteriota; Terriglobia. The record is from RNAcentral.
GUUCGCAUCCCACAAGCGGAAGGUCUGCGAAACCUUUAUUCGUGGGUUCGAUUCCCGCCCGCGCCUCCA